Molecule: ribosomal RNA, 465 nt
Filed under: uncultured Klebsiella sp.
Lineage: Bacteria; Pseudomonadati; Pseudomonadota; Gammaproteobacteria; Enterobacterales; Enterobacteriaceae
Description: bacterial SSU rRNA
Rfam family: Bacterial small subunit ribosomal RNA
Source: RNAcentral
CCUACGGGCGGCAGCAGUGGGGAAUAUUGCACAAUGGGCGCAAGCCUGAUGCAGCCAUGCCGCGUGUGUGAAGAAGGCCUUCGGGUUGUAAAGCACUUUCGGCGGGGAGGAAGGCGGUGAGGUUAAUAACCUCAUCGAUUGACGUUACCCGCAGAAGAAGCACCGGCUAACUCCGUGCCAGCAGCCGCGGUAAUACGGAGGGUGCAAGCGUUAAUCGGAAUUACUGGGCGUAAGGCGCACGCAGGCGGUCUGUCAAGUCGGAUGUGAAAUCCCCGGGCUCAACCUGGGAACUGCAUUCGAAACUGGCAGGCUAGAGUCUUGUAGAGGGGGGUAGAAUUCCAGGUGUAGCGGUGAAAUGCGUAGAGAUCUGGAGGAAUACCGGUGGCGAAGGCGGCCCCCUGGACAAAGACUGACGCUCAGGUGCGAAAGCGUGGGGAGCAAACAGGAUUAGAUACCCGUGUAGUC